AACGAACGCUUGCGGCGCGCCUAAUACAUGCAAGUCGAACGAACCAGCAAUGGUGAGUGGCGCACGGGUGAGUAACGCGUGGAUAAUCUGCCCUCUACUGGGGAAUAACUAACCGAAAGGUUAGCUAAUACCGCAUGAGACCACGAUCCCUGAGGGGAAUGAGGUUAAAGAUUUAUCGGUAGAGGAUGAGUCUGCGUGGGAUUAGCUAGUUGGUGGGGUAACGGCCGUACCAAGGCUACGAUCUCUAACAGGUCUGAGAGGAUGACCUGUCACACUGGAACUGAGACACGGUCCAGACUCCUACGGGAGGCAGCAGUAGGGAAUAUUGCGCAAUGGGCGAAAGCCUGACGCAGCGACGCCGCGUGAGUGAUGAAGGCCUUAGGGUCGUAAAGCUCUGUUGUACGGGAAGAAAAAUGACGGUACCGUAUAAGAAAGGAUCGGCUAACUUCGUGCCAGCCGCCGCAGUAAG
This 469-nucleotide ribosomal RNA is filed under the name uncultured bacterium. Its description in RNAcentral is "bacterial SSU rRNA". It matches the Rfam family "Bacterial small subunit ribosomal RNA", at positions 29 to 524 of the family's 1533-position model. The record is from RNAcentral.